UGGGGAAUCUUGGACAAUGGGGGCAACCCUGAUCCAGCAAUGCCGCGUGAGUGAAGAAGGCCUUCGGGUUGUAAAGCUCUUUUGUCAGGGAAGAAACGGUAGUAGCGAAUAACUAUUACUAAUGACGGUACCUGAAGAAUAAGCACCGGCUAACUACGUGCCAGCAGCCGCGGUAAUACGUAGGGUGCAAGCGUUAAUCGGAAUUACUGGGCGUAAAGCGUGCGCAGGCGGUUGUGUAAGUCAGAUGUGAAAUCCCCGGGCUCAACCUGGGAAUUGCAUUUGAGACUGCACGGCUAGAGUGUGUCAGAGGGGGGUAGAAUUCCACGUGUAGCAGUGAAAUGCGUAGAUAUGUGGAGGAAUACCGAUGGCGAAGGCAGCCCCCUGGGAUAACACUGACGCUCAUGCACGAAAGCGUGGGGAGCAAACAGGAUUAGAUACCCCCGUAGUCCUGAGCGGGCUGGCAAGGCGCAU
This 471-nucleotide ribosomal RNA is filed under the name uncultured bacterium. RNAcentral describes it as "bacterial SSU rRNA". It matches the Rfam family "Bacterial small subunit ribosomal RNA", at positions 355 to 825 of the family's 1533-position model. The record is from RNAcentral.